RNAcentral lists this ribosomal RNA (402 nucleotides) under uncultured bacterium. RNAcentral's name for it is "bacterial SSU rRNA". It matches the Rfam family "Bacterial small subunit ribosomal RNA", at positions 356 to 775 of the family's 1533-position model. The record is from RNAcentral.
GGGGAAUAUUGCACAAUGGGCGAAAGCCUGAUGCAGCAACGCCGCGUGAGUGAUGACGGUCUUCGGAUUGUAAAGCUCUGUCUUUGGGGACGAUAAUGACGGUACCCAAGGAGGAAGCCACGGCUAACUACGUGCCAGCAGCCGCGGUAAUACGUAGGUGGCAAGCGUUGUCCGGAUUUACUGGGCGUAAAGGGUGCGUAGGCGGACCUUUAAGUGAGAUGUGAAAUCCCCGAGCUUAACUUGGGGGCUGCAUUUCAAACUGGAGGUCUAGAGUGCAGGAGAGGAGAGUGGAAUUCCUAGUGUAGCGGUGAAAUGCGUAGAGAUUAGAAAGAACACCAGUGGCGAAGGCGACUCUCUGGACUGUAACUGACGCUGAGGCACGAAAGCGUGGGGAGCAAACAG